Molecule: non-coding RNA, 248 nt
Organism: Pelobates cultripes (western spadefoot toad)
Lineage: Eukaryota; Metazoa; Chordata; Amphibia; Anura; Pelobatidae
Source: the annotation of a GenBank genome assembly
UGGACAGUGUCUCAGCUCACCCAAAGCUUCUUCUGGCCAGGCAUCUCUCAGGAUCUGAGGCAGUACUGCCAGAUGUCUAACAUAGCGUUGUGAAAAGGGCCUUCCUUCAUCCAAUAGGUAGGGAUGGUGAACACGGGUAACGAGGAAUCAGGGUUCGAUUCCGGAGAGGGAGCCUGAGAAAUGGCUACCAUAUCCAAGGAAGGCAGCAGACGCACAUAUUACCCACUCCCGACGCCGGGAGGUAGUGA